Molecule: ribosomal RNA, 462 nt
Filed under: uncultured bacterium
Lineage: Bacteria
Description: bacterial SSU rRNA
Rfam family: Bacterial small subunit ribosomal RNA
Source: RNAcentral
AACGAACGCUGGCGGCAUGCCUAACACAUGCAAGUCGAACGGGAUCCGGACUUCGGUCCGGUGAGAGUGGCGGACGGGUGAGUAACACGUGGGAACCUGCCUUUUGGUUCGGGAUAACCGCGGGAAACUGCGGCUAAUACCGGAUGCUCCCGAGAGGGAAAAGAUUUAUCGCCAGAAGAGGGGCCCGCGUCCGAUUAGGUAGUUGGUGGGGUAAUGGCCUACCAAGCCGACGAUCGGUAGCUGGUCUGAGAGGAUGAUCAGCCACACUGGGACUGAGAUACGGCCCAGACUCCUACGGGAGGCAGCAGUGGGGAAUAUUGGACAAUGGGGGCGAACCCUGAUCCAGCAAUGCCGCGUGAGUGAUGAAGGCCUUAGGUUGUAAAGCUCUUUUGUCCAGGGAAGGAAUGAUGACUGUACCUGGAGAAUAAGCCCGGCUAACUUCGUGCCAGCAGCCGCGGUAAU